RNAcentral lists this ribosomal RNA (301 nucleotides) under uncultured bacterium. RNAcentral describes it as "partial 16S ribosomal RNA". It matches the Rfam family "Bacterial small subunit ribosomal RNA", at positions 509 to 807 of the family's 1533-position model. The record is from RNAcentral.
CAGCAGCCGCGGUAAUACGAAGGGUGCAAGCGUUACUCGGAAUUACUCGGCGUAAAGCGUGCGUAGGUGGUGGUUUAAGUCCGUUGUGAAAGCCCUGGGCUCAACCUGGGAAUUGCAGUGGAUACUGGAUCACUAGAGUGUGGUAGAGGAUAGUGGAAUUUCCGGUGUAGCAGUGAAAUGCGUAGAGAUCGGAAGGAACAUCUGUGGCGAAGGCGACUAUCUGGGCCAACACUGACACUGAGGCACGAAAGCGUGGGGAGCAAACAGGAUUAGAUACCCCUGUAGUCCCUGUCUCUUAUAC